AAGUGGUGAGAGAUGAGAAUGGUAGGAGAUGCUGGAGCUGCCAGGAGCUGUGUCGUGAGAGAUGCCAGAGUUCUGCUGCUUAUCAGAGCCACUUGACCUAUUUCAAGUUAAUUCCACGUUACCACCUAUUUGUCACAUAAAAAACAGAAGCAAGUAAAAAUAAUCAAAGAAAGAAGCCACGGAAGACAAAAGAUGCUUUAAGAAAAGAAGUUCUCCAGCAGUUGACUUCCUAACUCAAAGCAGGAUUGUACAAAUGAGAUAGGAGAUAAAUUAUCUACAAUAGCUGCUUUAAUUUUCCAUUUAAACCUAUUUAAAGAUUGAGGAUUUACAAUGAUUAGUUUUAUAUAUUAAAAAAAACAACUCACGG
Long non-coding RNA from Mauremys mutica (yellowpond turtle), 367 nucleotides. RefSeq lists it as uncharacterized. The transcript is spliced from 3 exons. The record is from RefSeq and is a predicted model, not a curated record. NCBI's taxonomy places the organism in Eukaryota, Metazoa, Chordata, Testudines, Geoemydidae.